CUGGCGGCGUGCCUAAUACAUGCAAGUCGAACGGUCUUUCUAUGGAAGCUUGCUUCCGCUGAGAAGAUAGUGGCGAACGGGUGAGUAACACGUGGGUAACCUGCCCAUAAGAGGGGGGAUAACAUCCGGAAACGGGUGCUAAUACCGCAUAGUUUUCUUGAUCGCAUGAUCGGGAAAGAAAAGACGGCCUUUGUGCUGUCGCUUAUGGAUGGACCCGCGGCGUAUUAGUUAGUUGGUGAGGUAACGGCUCACCAAGACGAUGAUACGUAGCCGACCUGAGAGGGUGAUCGGCCACAUUGGGACUGAGACACGGCCCAAACUCCUACGGGAGGCAGCAGUAGGGAAUCUUCCGCAAUGGACGAAAGUCUGACGGAGCAACGCCGCGUGAGUGAAGAAAGGUUUUCGGAUCGUAAAACUCUGUUGUCAGAGAAGAACAAGUUGGAGAGUAACUGCUCCAGCCUUGACGGUAUCUGACCAGAAAGCCACGGCUAACUACGUGCCAGCCGCAGC
Molecule: ribosomal RNA, 510 nt
Filed under: uncultured bacterium
Lineage: Bacteria
Description: bacterial SSU rRNA
Rfam family: Bacterial small subunit ribosomal RNA
Source: RNAcentral